This 407-nucleotide ribosomal RNA is filed under the name uncultured bacterium. Its description in RNAcentral is "partial 16S ribosomal RNA". It matches the Rfam family "Bacterial small subunit ribosomal RNA", at positions 28 to 526 of the family's 1533-position model. The record is from RNAcentral.
GACGAAUGCUGGCGGCGUGCCUAAUACAUGCAAGUAGGACGCAGUUGCGAACGGGGGAGUAACGCGUAGGUAACUACUUAUUAGAGGGGGAUAACUAUUGGAAACGAUAACUAAUACCGCAUAUUAGUAACUGGACCUGCGUUGUAUUAGCUAGUAGGUAGGGUAAAGGCCUACCUAGGCAACGACAGAUAGCUGACCUGAGAGGGGGAGGGGCCACACUGGGACUGUGACAAGGCCCAGACUCCUACGGGAGGCAGCAGUAGUGGAUCUGCGGCAAUGGGGGGAACCCUGACCGAGCAACGCCGGGGAAGUUAAGAAGGUGUUCGGAUCGUAAGGCUCGGUUGUUAAGGAAGCGGUACGUAGCCAGAAAGGGACGGCUAACUACGUGCCAGCAGCCGCGGUAAUUC